AGAGUUUGAUCAUGGCUCAGAACGUACGCUGGCGGCACGCCUAACACAUGCAAGUCGAACGCAGUAGCAAUACUGAGUGGCAAACGGGUGAGUAUAAUGUGGGAAUCUGCCUUUUGGUUUGGAAUAACACGGGGAAACUUGUGCUAAUACCGAAUAAGCCCUUACGGGGAAAGUUUUAACGCCGAAAGAUGAGCCUGCACUUGAUUAGCUAGUUGGUAAGGUAAAAGCUUACCAAGGCAACGAUCAAUAGCUGUUCUUAGAGGAAGACCAGCCACAUUGGGACUGAGACACGGCCCAGACUCCUACGGGAGGCAGCAGUGGGGAAUCUUGCACAAUGGGGGAAACCCUGAUGCAGCGAUGCCGCGUGAGUGAAGAAGGCCUUUGGGUUGUAAAACUCUUUCGUCGGGGAAGAAAAUGACUGUACCCGAAUAAGAAGGUCCGGCUAACUUCGUGCCAGCAGCCGCGGUAAUAC
This 472-nucleotide ribosomal RNA is filed under the name uncultured bacterium. RNAcentral describes it as "bacterial SSU rRNA". It matches the Rfam family "Bacterial small subunit ribosomal RNA", at positions 8 to 526 of the family's 1533-position model. The record is from RNAcentral.